AACGCUAGCUACAGGCUUAACACAUGCAAGUCGAGGGGCAGCAUUAUCGAAGCUUGCUUUGAUAGAUGGCGACCGGCGCACGGGUGAGUAACGCGUAUCCAACCUUCCCCAUAGUCAGGAAUAGCCCGGCGAAAGUCGAAUUAAUGCCUGAUGUUUUCCACGGACGGCAUCUGAUGUGGAACAAAGAUUCAUCGCUAUGGGAUGGGGAUGCGUCUGAUUAGCUUGUUGGCGGGGUAACGGCCCACCAAGGCAACGAUCAGUAGGGGUUCUGAGAGGAAGGUCCCCCACAUUGGAACUGAGACACGGUCCAAACUCCUACGGGAGGCAGCAGUGAGGAAUAUUGGUCAAUGGGCGGAAGCCUGAACCAGCCAAGUAGCGUGAGGGAUGACUGCCCUAUGGGUUGUAAACCUCUUUUAUAAGGGAAUAAAAUACGGGACGUGUCCUGUUUUGCAUGUACCUUAUGAAUAAGGACCGGCUAAUUCCGUGCCAGCAGCCGCGGUAAUACGGAAGGUCCGGGCGUUAUCCGGAUUUAUUGGGUCUAAAGGGAGCGCAGGCGGUCUUAUAAGCGUGACGUGAAAUGCAGCGGCUCAACCGUAUGAUGUGCGUCGCGAACUGUGAGACUUGAGUGUAUUCGAUGUCAGCGGAAUUUGUGGUGUAGCGGUGAAAUGCUUAGAUAUCACGAAGAACUCCGAUUG
RNAcentral lists this ribosomal RNA (695 nucleotides) under uncultured bacterium. Its description in RNAcentral is "bacterial SSU rRNA". It matches the Rfam family "Bacterial small subunit ribosomal RNA", at positions 32 to 715 of the family's 1533-position model. The record is from RNAcentral.